RNAcentral lists this small RNA (1623 nucleotides) under Pongo abelii (Sumatran orangutan). RNAcentral describes it as "retained intron". Lineage: Eukaryota; Metazoa; Chordata; Mammalia; Primates; Hominidae. The record is from RNAcentral.
CCCAGGCUGGGGCUCUUAGGGAGAAAGGAAGCUGCGCUGCGGUCCGCUGGGCGAACCCUGCUCCGCGCGAGAAUUUUUUUGAUGCCUUCUUAUUUGGAGAAAUCUCCAGCUGCUCUGAUGAUAGCCUAAGAAGACUGCAUGCUGCUUCCUCUCGAUGCCAAGCCAGGCCCUCUCACAACUUCGGAUCUCAGUCCUUCAUGGAGACCUGGUCCCAGCAGGAAUGGCAGUGCAGGAAAUUGGCGCCCAGAUGGUUCUUCCAUGUGAAGUUGUCUCGGGCUCUGGGCUGACAAGAGAACACCUGGUAACCAGGUUAGCCCUCUGUCAGCCACCCAGGGCAGGGCAGCAUGGUACGGAUUCAGAGGAGGAAGCUUUUGGCAUCUUGCCUGUGCGUCACAGCUACCGUCUUUCUGCUUGUCACACUCCAGGUCAUGGUUGAGCUGGGGAAGUUUGAAAGGAAGGAGUUGAAAAGUUCCAGUUUGCAAGAUAGACAUACAAAAAUGGAGGAAGCACCUACACAUCUUAAUUCAUUUCUUAAGAAAGAAGGAUUGACCUUCAACAGGAAAAGAAAAUGGGAAUUGGAUAGCUACCCCAUUAUGCUCUGGUGGUCCCCGCUGACGGGGGAGACUGGGAGGUUAGGCCAAUGUGGAGCAGAUGCUUGUUUCUUCACCAUCAACCGGACCUACCUGCAUCAUCACAUGACCAAAGCAUUCCUCUUCUAUGGUACUGACUUUAACAUAGAUAGCUUACCUCUGCCUCGGAAAGCCCAUCAUGACUGGGCUCUUUUUCACGAAGAGUCCCCGAAAAACAAUUAUAAGCUCUUUCAUAAACCAGUGAUCACCUUAUUCAACUACACUGCCACGUUCAGCAGGCAUUCCCACUUGCCACUAACUACCCAAUACUUGGAGAGCAUUGAAGUCCUGAAGUCACUCCGAUACCUAGUUCCUUUGCAGUCCAAAAACAAGCUUAGAAAAAGACUUGCUCCACUGGUGUAUGUACAGUCAGACUGUGACCCACCAUCAGACAGGGAUAGCUAUGUUCGCGAGCUGAUGACUUACAUCAAGGUUGAUUCCUAUGGUGAAUGUUUACGAAACAAAGACCUCCCUCAGCAGCUGAAAAAUCCAGCCUCUAUGGAUGCCGAUGGCUUUUAUAGGAUCAUUGCACAGUAUAAGUUUAUCCUAGCUUUUGAGAAUGCAGUUUGUGAUGACUACAUCACUGAGAAGUUCUGGAGGCCACUGAAACUGGGGGUAGUCCCUGUAUAUUACGGAUCCCCCAGCAUCACAGACUGGCUUCCAAGUAACAAAAGUGCUAUUCUUGUAUCAGAAUUUUCUCACCCCAGGGAACUGGCAAGUUACAUCAGACGACUGGAUUCUGAUGACAGAUUGUAUGAGGCCUAUGUAGAAUGGAAGCUGAAGGGUGAGAUCUCUAACCAGCGACUUCUGACAGCUCUCAGGGAACGGAAAUGGGGAGUGCAAGACGUCAACCAGGACAAUUACAUCGAUGCAUUUGAGUGUAUGGUGUGCACCAAGGUGUGGGAUAAUAUCAGGCUUCAGGAAAAGGUAAGCAAAUCAAAGGUGGGCAUAGAGCCAGCAAGUUGGCCAUCUUGAUGUUCUCUGCUCUCCUGUG